AUUAAUAAAAGCUUGUUUUGUAAGGGUAAAAUUGUAAAGAGGUGAAUAUUUUAAGACUCUGUGAGGGUAUAAAAGUAAAUUCAAUGAACAGCCAUACUCACAUGCUCAGAUUCCUUUCCAUCGCUGCCCUUAAAAGAAACCUAAUCGACAUUCCUCUGAAUCAAACCGAAGAUUGAAUGCUACGCAAAUGAAACGGUGAAACGGUGGGAAGCAAUCAAUCAUGAUUUGAGAUAUAAACUUGCAGAUACAAGAUACAGGGAGUCAGGGACGGAUCAUUUUCUCUUUCCCUUCCAAACCUCUGGAUCCCGUCUUCCGAAUUCCACAUCUGCAGCCACAAAAGGGCUCUUUAAAGUCACCGUUUCACCCUUUCACUAACCCUAAAUCCUCUUCGUUUGGUCGUCAUAAGGUGCUGUCCAAGAUCAAAUUAAAGAUAAGGCAAGGUCUUAGGUCAGGCUUCAAAUAGGGAAAUCGAUUAUCAUCAGAUCAGGUUAACAACAAACGCUAUCACAGAUUCAAUCUCUUUAUUCUGCAGUUGCUUGGAUACGAACAGGUGAAGCAGUAAGUCGUUAUGAUUGAUUUUGUGUUUCUCGAGGGUUUUUUGUAUUCAGUGUAUCUACAUAAAUGAUCAACCAGGUUUGAAUUUUUGGAACUUCACUUUUUGCAACGCUUUUGUUUCACCAUUAUGAUUUUAAUUUUUUUGGAUCUUUUUUUAAUUUUGUUCCACCAGGUUCGAUUUCUGCUCAGAUGGAACGAUUUAAUUUUGGAUGUGGCUGAUUAAAGUUGAAUCAUCAUUAUAUAUAAAUGGUUUGCAAAACGUCUCUAUGGUGAUUCUCAUUACUUUGCUUUGCUCAUUAUUUGCAUUGUGUUUAGUACUUUAGUUGCAAAACUUCGUGAAUUGAAUUUGAGACUGAAGUGGAGAUGUGGCGUUUGGAAGGAAGGAAUGGAGGAUCCUUGGAUAGCAGAUGGUGAAUUUAGCAUUCGGGUCUCAAUCGGGAAGAGUUGGACAUUGGAUAAGUGCUUGUAAACGUUCAGGCUUGAAAACCGACGGUGAACAAAAUCAUUUAAAUCACAAAUGUAUUUAUUCUUUUUAUUUUGAAUUUAUUUACUUAAAUGUUUCUGAAGCUACUGGUAGUGCUAAUAACGAUUACUUUGAAGAAGUUUAUGAGGUUAGCCACCUAACGACUCAAUAAGUAGUAACAACUUUGUUUCACUCAAAAAUAUGUUUUACUCUUACUUAACAUAUUUAAACGUUAUUCGUUUGCAAUUUUAUCAGUACUAUGCCAAUGGUGAUGCGUGGCACCUUCCACCUGGCGUGUAUAAGACUAUAUUAACUCUGAAAGAGUCCGGAGGUCAUAAAUUAUAAUCAAAUAUUCAUCUUUAUCUUAUAAGUUGGCAUCUUUUGUAAGUAAAUAAUCAUUCAUUAUAUAUAUAAUAUCUUACAGUUAAACUGCUACCGUGAAGGCUGAAUUUCGAUGUUUACUUUUGAAAAUUUUGGGUUAACUAAGACUAUUUUGGUAGUUUUCCAUUAGUUUAAGUUGAUUUAAAUAUAUUUACUGGAUUUCCUGAAUUAUUUAUGUCAGACAAAACUUGCAAGAAAUUCUGAAUACUGUUAUGGGAGAUCUCAAAAACAAGUUAUUGUUCACUUGGGAUCAAGAACACUGCACAGAUUCAGGUUUCAUGUGUCUGGAAAACCAAGAUAAGCCGCUGUUCUUGAAAGAACUUAGUCAUAUAUGGGAGAAAAAGUACCAGAAUCUUUCGUGGAGUGAUGGAGAAUAUUCGGCUUCCAACACGCCGUUGGUCACCUAUCCUGAGAAGGCCCUUCUAAAUCCUGUAUGACGUCAUAUAUGAAUGUAUAUCUCAAAUGGGUCGCCAAAACAUUUAGGUUAAGAACUGGUGGGUAAAAUGGGUUGAACGGGAUAUAACUUAUAAGUGUUGAAAAUCAUCAAUGAGUGUUUUUAAAAUCAUUCAGCAUCUAAUGUAUUUAAGGUUAGUUAGGUCAUUUUAAGAAAGCGAGAGUAAGGAUGAAACCCGUAAAAGAUUUUUAAAAAAUGUAUUACUAUUAGGUUGAAAAGUGAUAAUCAUGUUAGGUAAGUCUGAUGCGUACCAAGUAUAUGAUGGAAUGCCUUAAUGACGCCACUGCCUAUGGUGCUGGUUCCGCCUCUUGCUGCUCGAACCAGGUUUUGGUUUCGGUUUUGACUAUAUCAUAAGGAUGUGAUGCUGGGAAGCACCAACAAGCUUUCAACCUCACCGGAGGAUUCGCUCUGUCGAAGUGCUUUGAUGACGAUAGUCCUAUAAUGGCAUGGGUAUUCCAUGACCCAAACUAAAUGAUGUUGCAAAGGGACCUGGAGACAAAAGAAGCCUGGUAAACGCAUGUCAAAAUGAUAUGUGCCAUGUUCUAAAAGCCAUGCACAUCACGUUCCCAUUUGCCAACGGCUGUUAUUUUUCUUUUGCAUGAUUAGAUAGUGCCAUAGUCGGCACUACUAUUAGUUGGAAACAAGGCACCGGAUUUGGAAGCAGAGCGAGUUUUUGAUCAAGAAUUCAUCAAGGUUAGGCUCCACUUUCGUUUGUCCAACCGAAAUGCAAACCUGUCACACCCCGAAAUUAUCAGAGCUGGCGUGACUGGACCGGUAUCUU
Molecule: RNA transcript, 2634 nt
Organism: Helianthus annuus (common sunflower)
Lineage: Eukaryota; Viridiplantae; Streptophyta; Magnoliopsida; Asterales; Asteraceae
Exons: 7
Source: RefSeq, a predicted model, not a curated record